GGGGGGAGCAGGGGCUUCCUGUUUACAAGAAUCCCAAGGACCCUCAGGGGCGGUGACUCAGACAGGCCUGGGAGCAGCCCCUCAGCUCUGGCUGCGUGGGAGGGGCCUCUGGAACACUAGCCAGCAGGACUCAGACUGUACCCCAUGUGGGAUAGGAAGUGAGGAGCCUUAGAAUAGUUAGAAUACUGGCCGACUGGAGGAGUUGAGUACCUAAGUACUGGGGCUGAGUAUGAAAGUCCUGGAGCCCAGGCCGGUAGGCAGGGCUCUCCCAAGUGUCAACUUUGCCCUCGAAGCUUCUUCAGGGGAGAUUGAGUCUAGAGGAAGGACAGAUCUUUCUGCCUACGAAGCUGGAGGGGAUGGGGGACGACACAACACAGAUGAGCUGAGAUGCCUUCACCUUUUCUGAGACUUCCAUACCCUGAAGGAUGGAAUUGGCUAAGGCCCAGGACCUGCUGGGAGAUAGUGGCCAGAUAUACUUCAUAGCGAAGCUCCAGGGCUCAGGGGUGACAACCAGUGUGGGGAUGGCCAAAGGCCACCCUGCAGAAGAAAACAACACGGCCCUGAAGGUUAUCACAGCCAGCUCUUCCGAUGGUUACCCAACAGCCCCCUAGCUCAGAGUACCCAGAAACCAGCCCUACGGGCACACUUUGUGGGCUUUUGAGACAGCUGUAUUGGAGGGAGCUGGUCCAGCAGCAUGAGGCAGUUACAGAGGGCUUCUCGUAAGAGGCAGCAGCUUCUCACUGUGGAUUCCUGAAACAGCCCAGGAAAACAGUCUGGCCAAAGGCAAUGGAGAUUGAACUCUGGACCUCACAUUCUUGCAGCAAGCACUUUACCAACUAAGUGACCUCUCUAACCGGCCCCCCAAUCCCCUCUGUAUAAAGGAGCUUUUAUCCAGGAGUUCUGGAAGCCUUGUUCCUGUGUACCCCACCUCCCUUUCAACAAGCCCAACAUACUGGGGAUAACUCAUUUCCUCCCAUUUACUGUGGGGGAAACUGAGGCCUGCAGAUGCUAAGAAAUGUGUCAAAGGUCAUAUCCCCAUGGACUGUGAGUGGGUUUGGGGUUUGAGCCUGGACCUGGGCUCUUAGUUCGAGGUUCCCUCUACCUGUGAGUGUUACCGCUUUGCCCAUUAAGGCGUUUGAACCCAGAGAUAGCUGCUUCUGCCUCCAGGGGCAGGUGGUUUGUGAACCACUUGGGCUAUUGGUUCCUUGGGGUUGGACCUGGGGUAGGAGAAGUUGCUCAAACUCUUCCAUACUCAGAGCUGGGUCCUUGUCUAGACGUCGUCACCGAGACCUGAUGUGACGGUGGCAACACUGAGGUUGGCAGAAGGUAGGAAGGCCAGCAACAUGUCAGCAUCCUGCUCGCCCCACCUGACACCCAGCAUGUCCUGGCUGGCGGCCACAGUGAUUCACCAGUUCUGAGCCCCAGUUUCGUUUGUAAUCAGGAAACUGCUUCUGGAGAGCCCGGGGCACUUUCUGCUGAGCCCUACACCCUCCCAGAAGCUCAGGGAGAGGCUGAGGAGGGGAGCUGAGGAGGUGGCCAGGGGCCUGGGCCCAAGAAUUUGCAUAAUUUGUUCUUUUCUUUGUGGAGGGUGAGAAAUCCCCAGGAUUUCAUUUCCCUGGAAACUAGCCCCAUUCCUCAUCCAUUCCACCCUCCCUGCACCAGUUGCCAGGGCCCUAGACAAGCCGGGCUUUCCAGAAGUUCCCUGGGAGAGACCACUGCAGAAGGGGCUAAUUCCAAAUGGUGGUUGGUGGGUAAGGGGACUUUCAGGACCCAGUCUGACGUUUCAGAGGCCCCACCUAGAGGAAGGACAGUGCAGGCAGGGGUCAGCAGCUGCUUCUUCUGCAUAGUCCUUUCUUCUUUGGGCCCUUGAUUUUCCCACCUAUGGGCAGUAAUGGUGUCUUUUUGCUGGGGUCAUUAAGAGGACUCAGGAUGAAGUGUGGAGAGAGCUUGAAACAGUAUCUGCUCUGUGGUCAGCCUUGGGAAGUGUUAGCUUGUUUAGUGUUGAUGCUAGGUCAGUACUGUCUUGAGCAAACCCACAAUAUUGAGCAUCUAGCCAGCAGCAGCACAGGUGAAGGGCAGUGUCUGUGCGAAGGCCCAGACCAUGUAAUGUGAGACAUGUGGAGCACUAGAAGGGAAUUCUGGGGAAGGGAGAUUUGAAGAUAUCAUUUCCCCUUUUGGACAGUCACUUCGAAGAAGCAGGGGCCAUAGGAGGCUUUGGAGCAGGACUGUGUGAUACACAUAGACUGAGCAGCAGGACUGUGGAGAGGUGAUUGCCUGGAGAGGCCAUAGUGAGGAGGUAGCACCAGGACUCUGGUGAAAGAUGGGGCAUCUAGGGCUGGAGAGAUGGGUCGGUGGGUAAGGCCCUCCCUUGCUGUACAAGCAUUCAGACCUGGGGUCUGCUUCCCAGAGCACAUGAACAAAGCUGGGUGAGGCAAUGUACCUGUAACUCCAGUGUGGGGAAGGAGGCCAUUGGCAAAUCCUGGAGGGCUCACUGACCAACCAGUCCAGCCAACCGGUGAGCUCCAGAUUCAGUGAGAGACCCUGUCCCCCCAAAUAAGGCAGCUGAUGAGCUGACUCAGCAGAUAAAAGCUGUCCCUGACAUCUAGUUGUGUUGUGGCACACUUGCAUACCUGUGAGCUCUCUCUUUCUCUUUCUCUCUCUCUCUCUCUCUCUCUCUCUCUCCUCUCUCUUCUUUCUUCUCUCUCCUCUCUCCCUCUCAAUAAAUCCAUUUAAAGAAUAAUGUGAGAGCAAUGGAAGAAGACACCCAGCAUCUGCCUCUGGCCUCCACGAAUGCUAACAUGGACACCUGCGCAUAAUGCACAGACACAAACAUGGAGAGGCCUGAGCUAGAAUAGUAGUUCUAGGUGUGGAAAGGUCAGGGCUGGGACUCCUGGGGUCACACAGAGCUGAGCUGACACUGACAAUGAGUGAGUGAAUUCUGUGGCAGGGGAGAUGGAAGAAUGCAGGUUUACAGAGAGCCAGUAACUCAGAGCACCGUAAAUUGUUUAGUAGGGGACAUUGUAGGAGGUCCUCAAAGGGUGGGUAGGAUUUGUGCAGAGGCCUAAUAAGGAAAGGAAGGCCACCUUGGACAAAGACCACCAAAAACAGUGCUUGAGAGGUCUGAAAGCCUGAGUGGGGGUAGUGUGGAUGGAGAAAUUGUGGGAUGAAGUGUUGGGGGUCUUGGACAUCUUUCUGUAGAUAACUGGGGGAAAAAGUUGACAGGUAGGGUGAGUGGCAGGGGGAGAUUUUCAACAUAUGUAUCAGUUUCCUGCAGCUGCAGUAACAAAAGAGCAUGAUGCUGGUGGCUGAAUAUAACAGAAAGGAUGCUUUUGGCCUCCGUAGGGCAGGAGGCCGAGAUGAAGAUGCCUGAAGGCUCCAAGAUUCUUCCUGCCUCUUAUGCCAGCCUCAGCCUGCUUCUGUGUGACCCUCCCCAGGUGUCCUGGAUGGUAUAAGAGAGCAGGCUGAGCAAGUCAAGAGCAGCAAGCCUGUAAGCAGC
Molecule: non-coding RNA, 3496 nt
Organism: Cricetulus griseus (Chinese hamster)
Lineage: Eukaryota; Metazoa; Chordata; Mammalia; Rodentia; Cricetidae
Source: RefSeq, a predicted model, not a curated record